CUGAGACCACCGGUGCUAGGAAUUGCUGAAGUGCUUCAACUGCUCUGGAACCACCUCCUUGGAAUUUACAGAGCCUGAACUCCAGCUGACCCACCAUGAAGAGAAAACAUGCGGGUAGUCACUUGUAAUCCGAUCUUCCGACGUUUGCCUUCCAGUUUAGAAAAAGCAAUCCCCCAAUUCACCAGGGUCAUAGAGUCUUCAGACUCUUUCCUAUGCUAGUUUAAAUAUAACCCAGGGUUCAGAUCUAGGGUAUGUGACAAUGGAGUCUCUGCUAAUUCUCUCUCUAGUGAUGGCUUAGGGGAAGCAGCAGUUGCAAAGCACAGCUGGAUGCCUUUUCACCAGUUGUGCAAGAAUAUCUACAUCACCCUCAGUGAUGGGGAUGUCUGCUGACCAGAAGGGACUACUGAUACACAGCACGUAUUGCUCACCAUCCUCAGCAAAAAAAUGUACUCCAAAGCACACAGUUGCCUUUCACUGGAGAUGGAUUCCCCCAUACAGAAGAAAAUAUGGAAAUCUCAGAGGGAACCACAGAAAGAAACACAAACCACAUAGGAGAAGUUCUGUUCAUCUCUAAACUGGUUGUCCCUCAAUUAGGUAAUUAGAUCUGUAACAUACUGAAAAUGGCUCUACAAAUAUAGCGAGAUAACUCCUCCCCAUGUCUCAGACUCUGAAAGAAGACAGCUUCAGUAAAGGCAGUGGAAAAUUAUUAAUAAAAAAGGUGAUUUAGGUGCUA
This is a long non-coding RNA of Chiroxiphia lanceolata (lance-tailed manakin), 733 nucleotides long. RefSeq lists it as uncharacterized. The transcript has 2 exons. NCBI's taxonomy places the organism in Eukaryota, Metazoa, Chordata, Aves, Passeriformes, Pipridae. The record is from RefSeq and is a predicted model, not a curated record.